Molecule: transfer RNA, 63 nt
Filed under: Glena unipennaria
Lineage: Eukaryota; Metazoa; Arthropoda; Insecta; Lepidoptera; Geometridae
Also listed under: 1 other name
Description: tRNA-Ile
Source: RNAcentral
UGUAAAGUGCCUGAAUAAAGGAUAAUUUUGAUAGAAUUAAUAAUGCAUUUUAUGCCUUUACAA